Molecule: ribosomal RNA, 391 nt
Filed under: uncultured Chrysophyceae
Lineage: Eukaryota; Chrysophyceae
Description: partial small subunit ribosomal RNA
Rfam family: Eukaryotic small subunit ribosomal RNA
Source: RNAcentral
GCUUGUCUCAAAGAUUAAGCCAUGCAUGUCUAAGUGUAAAUAAGUCUAUACUGUGAAACUGCGAAUGGCUCAUUAAAUCAGUUAUAGUUUAUUUGAUGGUCCCUUACUACAUGGAUAACCGUAGUAAUUCUAGAGCUAAUACAUGCAUCAAACCCCGACUUCUGGAAGGGGUGUAUUUAUUAGAUGGAAACCAAUGCAGGGCAACCUGGAAUAUGGUGAUUCAUAAUAACUCGCGGAUCGGUUUACCGAUGCAUCAUUCAAGUUUCUGCCCUAUCAGCUUUGGAUGGUAGGGUAUUGGCCUACCAUGGCUUUAACGGGUAACGGAGAAUUAGGGUUCGAUUCCGGAGAGGGAGCCUGAGAAAUGGCUACCACAUCCAAGGAAGGCAGCAGG